AACAGGAUUAGAUACCCUGGUAGUCCACGCCCUAAACGAUGUCUACUAGUUGUCGGGUUUUAAUUAACUUGGUAACGCAGCUAACGCGUGAAGUAGACCGCCUGGGGAGUACGGUCGCAAGAUUAAAACUCAAAGGAAUUGACGGGGACCCGCACAAGCGGUGGAUGAUGUGGAUUAAUUCGAUGCAACGCGAAAAACCUUACCUACCCUUGACAUGUACGGAAGGCCGAAGAGAUUUGGCUGUGCUCGAAAGAGAGCCGUAACACAGGUGCUGCAUGGCUGUCGUCAGCUCGUGUCGUGAGAUGUUGGGUUAAGUCCCGCAACGAGCGCAACCCUUGUCAUUAGUUGCUACAUUCAGUUGAGCACUCUAAUGAGACUGCCGGUGACAAACCGGAGGAAGGUGGGGAUGACGUCAAGUCCUCAUGGCCCUUAUGGGUAGGGCUUCACACGUCAUACAAUGGUACAUACAGAGGGCCGCCAACCCGCGAGGGGGAGCUAAUCCCAGAAAGUGUAUCGUAGU
This 520-nucleotide ribosomal RNA is filed under the name uncultured bacterium. RNAcentral's name for it is "bacterial SSU rRNA". It matches the Rfam family "Bacterial small subunit ribosomal RNA", at positions 771 to 1292 of the family's 1533-position model. The record is from RNAcentral.